Long non-coding RNA from Ziziphus jujuba (common jujube), 578 nucleotides. RefSeq lists it as uncharacterized. The transcript is spliced from 2 exons. NCBI's taxonomy places the organism in Eukaryota, Viridiplantae, Streptophyta, Magnoliopsida, Rosales, Rhamnaceae. The record is from RefSeq and is a predicted model, not a curated record.
UACAGGUUCAGUCCAUGAAAAUUUUAUGUCAAAAAACACUUCAGCUGACUCACCUUUUGGUAGUCGUACAGAAAAGAUUAUCAACAGUUUUCUGCAGAAUCCUGUUUUGAAAGGAGAGGAAAACGAGACAAAUGAAGUGGCUGGGCGGUUGAGGUCAGAGAACAACUUGCUUCACAUGGUAAUUUAUGUUUUUGGUUCUGUUUCUCUUUUUUGUUUAGACAAGCAUACAUGAAUGAUAAAUGACUAUUUUGAAAGCAUUUAAUGGUUAAGAAAAAAAAAAAAAACAUUUGUACACCCACAAUCAGAGAACGAAGAAGAUUGAAAGAUGGAGCACCCAGAAUCAGAGAACGAAGAAGAAGAAGAAGAAGCAUAAGAAUUUUUUUCUACACAUUUGUACUCCCAGGUUGAAGAAGAAGAAGAAAAAUAAUGGCAAAAAAAAAAAAAAAAAAACAAUGCCAGAUCGAAGAGAAGAACGAAGAAGAAGACAUUUUUUCCUCCACAUUUGUACACCAGAUCGAAAAUAAAAUUGCAAAAAAAAACAAAUUGCCAGAUCGAAGAACAAGACAAACGAAGAAAAA